This 1372-nucleotide ribosomal RNA is filed under the name uncultured bacterium. Its description in RNAcentral is "bacterial SSU rRNA". It matches the Rfam family "Bacterial small subunit ribosomal RNA", at positions 28 to 1381 of the family's 1533-position model. The record is from RNAcentral.
GAUGAACGCUGGCGGCGUGCCUAAUACAUGCAAGUCGAGCGAACGGACGAGAAGCUUGCUUCUCUGAUGUUAGCGGCGGACGGGUGAGUAACACGUGGAUAACCUACCUAUAAGACUGGGAUAACUUCGGGAAACCGGAGCUAAUACCGGAUAAUAUUUUGAACCGCAUGGUUCAAAAGUGAAAGACGGUCUUGCUGUCACUUAUAGAUGGAUCCGCGCUGCAUUAGCUAGUUGGUAAGGUAACGGCUUACCAAGGCAACGAUGCAUAGCCGACCUGAGAGGGUGAUCGGCCACACUGGAACUGAGACACGGUCCAGACUCCUACGGGAGGCAGCAGUAGGGAAUCUUCCGCAAUGGGCGAAAGCCUGACGGAGCAACGCCGCGUGAGUGAUGAAGGUCUUCGGAUCGUAAAACUCUGUUAUUAGGGAAGAACAUAUUUGUAAGUAACUGUGCACAUCUUGACGGUACCUAAUCAGAAAGCCACGGCUAACUACGUGCCAGCAGCCGCGGUAAUACGUAGGUGGCAAGCGUUAUCCGGAAUUAUUGGGCGUAAAGCGCGCGUAGGCGGUUUUUUAAGUCUGAUGUGAAAGCCCACGGCUCAACCGUGGAGGGUCAUUGGAAACUGGAAAACUUGAGUGCAGAAGAGGAAAGUGGAAUUCCAUGUGUAGCGGUGAAAUGCGCAGAGAUAUGGAGGAACACCAGUGGCGAAGGCGACUUUCUGGUCUGUAACUGACGCUGAUGUGCGAAAGCGUGGGGAUCAAACAGGAUUAGAUACCCUGGUAGUCCACGCCGUAAACGAUGAGUGCUAAGUGUUAGGGGGUUUCCGCCCCUUAGUGCUGCAGCUAACGCAUUAAGCACUCCGCCUGGGGAGUACGACCGCAAGGUUGAAACUCAAAGGAAUUGACGGGGACCCGCACAAGCGGUGGAGCAUGUGGUUUAAUUCGAAGCAACGCGAAGAACCUUACCAAAUCUUGACAUCCUUUGACAACUCUAGAGAUAGAGCCUUCCCCUUCGGGGGACAAAGUGACAGGUGGUGCAUGGUUGUCGUCAGCUCGUGUCGUGAGAUGUUGGGUUAAGUCCCGCAACGAGCGCAACCCUUAAGCUUAGUUGCCAUCAUUAAGUUGGGCACUCUAAGUUGACUGCCGGUGACAAACCGGAGGAAGGUGGGGAUGACGUCAAAUCAUCAUGCCCCUUAUGAUUUGGGCUACACACGUGCUACAAUGGACAAUACAAAGGGCAGCGAAACCGCGAGGUCAAGCAAAUCCCAUAAAGUUGUUCUCAGUUCGGAUUGUAGUCUGCAACUCGACUACAUGAAGCUGGAAUCGCUAGUAAUCGUAGAUCAGCAUGCUACGGUGAAUACGUUCCCGGGUCU